CCAGCAGCUCAAGUACAUGACAGUCCGCAGUGACUCUUCUGCCUGCUUAAGCUUGUAAUCAUCUCUGUUUUUACCAGCUUUAUUGAAGUCUUUUAGACUCAAGUUACCUGGAAAGCUUUUCAUUUGCUUGGAGGUAGCAGAGUCCUUGAAGGAUUUGGCCCUGGAAUCAUUCUUUGAAGCUUUGUCUUUAACUUCUUGCAUCUUCUGGGAACUUGGUUGAAGGAAUUCCAUGCUCAUAUAUCUCAAGUUCAUUUCUAAAUGCUAUUUUGCGUCUCAAGAGAAGAGAGCAGAUGCAUCCUACUGCAAAUUGUGAUUUGAUAAAUGCGAGAAUGGAAUUUGGAAAGGAUCACAAAUGGGAAGUUGUUUAUAUAGUUUGCAGGAGAGAAUAGAUGAAGAAGUAUAUAUAGGAAAGAAAGGUGCAAGGUCUUGUUCUGGAGUUACCUGCUCUG
This 449-nucleotide unclassified non-coding RNA is filed under the name Hevea brasiliensis (rubber tree). Lineage: Eukaryota; Viridiplantae; Streptophyta; Magnoliopsida; Malpighiales; Euphorbiaceae. The record is from RNAcentral.